Molecule: ribosomal RNA, 639 nt
Filed under: Pluteus hispidulus
Lineage: Eukaryota; Fungi; Basidiomycota; Agaricomycetes; Agaricales; Pluteaceae
Description: eukaryotic LSU rRNA
Rfam family: 5.8S ribosomal RNA (bases 279-432)
Source: RNAcentral
UAGGUGAACCUGCGGAAGGAUCAUUAUCGAAUAAACUUGUGUAGGUUGUUGCUGACCCCCUCGGGGGUAUGUGCACAUCUGCCAUUGUUUCAUUCAUCCCUUCCACCUGUGCACUUUCUGUAGACCCAUACUGUUGCCUUUCAGGUGCUCUUGUGGCCCUGGUAUGAGGACCUGCUCUUGCUGUCCUUGGAUGGUAUGCGGUCUAUGUCUUUAUCAACCCCAAUUGUAUGACAUUGAAUGUUUGUCUGGGUUCUCUUGUAGACCCAUAAAAUCUAUACAACUUUCAACAACGGAUCUCUUGGCUCUCGCAUCGAUGAAGAACGCAGCGAAAUGCGAUAAGUAAUGUGAAUUGCAGAAUUCAGUGAAUCAUCGAAUCUUUGAACGCACCUUGCGCUCCUUGGCAUUCCGAGGAGCAUGCCUGUUUGAGUGUCAUUAAAUUCUCAAUUCCAUCCUCCUUGCAGAGGUUUGGAGUUGGAAAUGGAAGCUUGCUGGCUUCACAGUCAGCUCUUCUGAAACAUAUUAGCGGGGCCUGUGUACGCACGGCUGAAGCUCUGGUAUUGAUGAGUGUCAUAUCAAGCUGCAGACGAGCAAUGUGCCCAGCUUACAGCUGUCUCUGUUGGGACAAUUGACUUGACAAUU